UGAGGAAUUUUGCGCAAUGGACGAAAGUCUGACGCAGCAAUGCCGCGUGGAGGAUGACGGCCUUCGGGUUGUAAACUCCUUUUUUAUGGGAAGAUUAUGACGGUACCGUAAGAAUAAGGGCCUGCUAACUACGUGCCAGCAGCAGCGGUAAUACGUAGGGCCCGAGCGUUAUCCGGAUUCAUUGGGCGUAGAGCGCUCGUAGGCGGACCAGUAGGUCGAACAUUAAAGACUCCGGCUCAACCGGAGGAAGGUGUUCGAAACCGCUGACCUAGAGAGUGGUAGAGGCAGAUGGAAUUCUCGGUGUAGGGGUAAUAUCCGUAGAUAUCGAGAAGAACACCAAAGGCGAAGGCAGUCUGCUGGACCAUUUCUGACGCUAAGGAGCGAAAGCGUGGGGAGCGAACGGG
RNAcentral lists this ribosomal RNA (404 nucleotides) under uncultured bacterium. Its description in RNAcentral is "bacterial SSU rRNA". It matches the Rfam family "Bacterial small subunit ribosomal RNA", at positions 355 to 776 of the family's 1533-position model. The record is from RNAcentral.